Molecule: transfer RNA, 61 nt
Filed under: Downesia tarsata
Lineage: Eukaryota; Metazoa; Arthropoda; Insecta; Coleoptera; Chrysomelidae
Description: tRNA-Glu
Source: RNAcentral
AUUUAUAUAGUUUAAUAAACAUUACAUUUUCAUUGUAAAAUUGUACUUUGUACUAUAAAUA